Molecule: long non-coding RNA, 721 nt
Filed under: Gadus morhua (Atlantic cod)
Lineage: Eukaryota; Metazoa; Chordata; Actinopteri; Gadiformes; Gadidae
Description: lncRNA (ENSGMOG00000025273.1)
Source: RNAcentral
AUCCCAGAAUUGCGCCUUUUCCAGUCAUUGCAGGAUCACUUUCAACAGAUUAUUUACAAGAUAGCUUUCCAAAAAAGACAAACAAAGGCACUUUUAAGAGCCAUUCUCUCUCUCGCUCUCUCUCUCACACUUUCUCUCUCUUUCUCACACUCACAGACACACACACACACACACACACACACACACACACACACACACACACACACACACACACACACACACACACACACACACCUGUAUUUUAUCUGUAUUGUGUGUCAAUUGUCCAGCGAUGUUCAAAAACCAGAAGGUUUGUUCUGAUGCCGUUGAGAUCAGGGACCAUAUGGCUUCUGAAAUCAGUAAUGCGCUACUCCUUGAGGCCCGGGCAGCAAUGGGAGACUCCCACUUUCCUCCAAAAAAGAAGAGGAGAAAGAAGAGUGCAGUCAAAAAAAAGAAAGUGGUCACGAGCCGACUUCAGAAACGUCAGAAAUCACCCAGACGUGCAUCAGAUUCCGUGAACCCAGUGAGUGAGGAAGUCCAGCUCGAAGGAAUUGAAUCGACUGCAAGUCUUGGUGAGUAUGCCUGCAUAUUCUGUAUGACUACAUUUCCCAUUCCUCCAUAUCCACAACUUCAUAUCCACAACUUUCUCAAUGAUCUCUCUGACUCUGACCAUUCAACCCGGUAUCACGCAAUUGCGUGCUCCUGCGCACGAACGUUAAUCUAUUGAAGCGUGUUCCCGAGC